RNAcentral lists this transfer RNA (72 nucleotides) under Urocitellus parryii (Arctic ground squirrel). Its description in RNAcentral is "Spermophilus parryii (Arctic ground squirrel) tRNA". It matches the Rfam family "tRNA". From Rfam's summary of the family: Transfer RNA (tRNA) molecules are approximately 80 nucleotides in length. Their secondary structure includes four short double-helical elements and three loops (D, anti-codon, and T loops). RNAcentral also lists the same sequence under 1 other name. Lineage: Eukaryota; Metazoa; Chordata; Mammalia; Rodentia; Sciuridae. The record is from Rfam by way of RNAcentral.
GGGGAUGUAGUUCAGUGGUAAAGCGUUUGCCUAGCAUGCAAAAGGCCCUGGGUUCAAUCCUCAACACUGUUC